This 528-nucleotide ribosomal RNA is filed under the name uncultured bacterium. Its description in RNAcentral is "bacterial SSU rRNA". It matches the Rfam family "Bacterial small subunit ribosomal RNA", at positions 777 to 1304 of the family's 1533-position model. The record is from RNAcentral.
AAUAGAUACCCCGGUAGUCCACGCCGUAAACGAUGUCGACUUGGAGGUUGUGCCCUUGAGGCGUGGCUUCCGGAGCUAACGCGUUAAGUCGACCGCCUGGGGAGUACGGCCGCAAGGUUAAAACUCAAAUGAAUUGACGGGGGCCCGCACAAGCGGUGGAGCAUGUGGUUUAAUUCGAUGCAACGCGAAGAACCUUACCUACUCUUGACAUCCAGAGAACUUGGCAGAGAUGCUUUGGUGCCUUCGGGAACUCUGAGACAGGUGCUGCAUGGCUGUCGUCAGCUCGUGUUGUGAAAUGUUGGGUUAAGUCCCGCAACGAGCGCAACCCUUAUCCUUUGUUGCCAGCGGUUUAGGCCGGGAACUCAAAGGAGACUGCCAGUGAUAAACUGGAGGAAGGUGGGGAUGACGUCAAGUCAUCAUGGCCCUUACGAGUAGGGCUACACACGUGCUACAAUGGCGCAUACAAAGAGAAGCGACCUCGCGAGAGCAAGCGGACCUCAUAAAGUGCGUCGUAGUCCGGAUUGGAGU